CGGCGCGGGGCGGGGCCUACGGGAGGCAGCAGUGGGGAAUAUUGCACAAUGGAGGAAACUCUGAUGCAGCAACGCCGCGUGGAGGAUGACGCAUUUCGGUGUGUAAACUCCUUUUAUAUGGGAAGAUAAUGACGGUACCAUAUGAAUAAGCACCGGCUAACUCCGUG
This 167-nucleotide ribosomal RNA is filed under the name uncultured bacterium. RNAcentral's name for it is "partial 16S ribosomal RNA". It matches the Rfam family "Bacterial small subunit ribosomal RNA", at positions 322 to 507 of the family's 1533-position model. The record is from RNAcentral.